Molecule: ribosomal RNA, 478 nt
Filed under: uncultured bacterium
Lineage: Bacteria
Description: SSU rRNA
Rfam family: Bacterial small subunit ribosomal RNA
Source: RNAcentral
AGGACGAACGCUGGCGGCGUGCUUAACACAUGCAAGUCGAGCGAGGCCCUUCCUUCGGGGAGGUGCCCUAGCGGCGAACGGGUGAGUAACACGUGGGCAACCUGCCCCUAGCACUGGGAUAACUCCGGGAAACCGGGGCUAAUACCGGAUAUGACCUUCUUGGGCAUCCUCGAAGGUGUAAAGGAUUCUGGCUAGGGAUGGGCCCGCGGCCUAUCAGCUUGUUGGUGGGGUAAUGGCCUACCAAGGCGACGACGGGUAGCCGGCCUGAGAGGGUGACCGGCCACACUGGGACUGAGACACGGCCCAGACUCCUACGGGAGGCAGCAGUGGGGAAUCUUGCACAAUGGGCGAAAGCCUGAUGCAGCGACGCCGCGUGAGGGAUGACUGCCUUCGGGUUGUAAACCUCUUUCAGCAGGGACGAAGCGAAAGUGACGGUACCUGCAGAAGAAGCACCGGCCAACUACGCGCCAGCAGCCGC